Molecule: ribosomal RNA, 381 nt
Filed under: uncultured bacterium
Lineage: Bacteria
Description: bacterial SSU rRNA
Rfam family: Bacterial small subunit ribosomal RNA
Source: RNAcentral
GACGAACGCUGGCGGCGUGCUUAACACAUGCAAGUCGAGCGGUAAGGCCCUUUCGGGGGUACACGAGCGGCGAACGGGUGAGUAACACGUGGGUGACCUGCCCUUAGCUCUGGGAUAAGCCUGGGAAACUGGGUCUAAUACCGGAUAUGACUCCAUGACGCAUGUUGUGGGGUGGAAAGCCUUGUGCGGCUAGGGAUGGGCCCGCGGCCUAUCAGCUUGUUGGUGGGGUGAUGGCCACCAAGGCGACGACGGGUAGCCGGCCUGAGAGGGCGACCGGCCACACUGGGACUGAGACACGGCCCAGACUCCUACGGGAGGCAGCAGUGGGGAAUCUUGCGCAAUGGGCGAAAGCCUGACGCAGCGACGCCGCGUGGGGAUGAC